GCAUUGGUGGUUCAGUGGUAGAAUUCUCGCCUGCCACGUCGGAGACCCGGGUCCGAUUCCCGGCCAACGCA
RNAcentral lists this transfer RNA (71 nucleotides) under Danio rerio (zebrafish). It matches the Rfam family "tRNA". Rfam says of the family: Transfer RNA (tRNA) molecules are approximately 80 nucleotides in length. Lineage: Eukaryota; Metazoa; Chordata; Actinopteri; Cypriniformes; Danionidae. The record is from Rfam by way of RNAcentral.